Pelobates cultripes (western spadefoot toad) is the source of this 217-nucleotide non-coding RNA. The record is from the annotation of a GenBank genome assembly. Lineage: Eukaryota; Metazoa; Chordata; Amphibia; Anura; Pelobatidae.
CCAGAGGAUGGGCUGAGGGGAGAACGAGGAUGGUAUGGAAAAGGGGGUUAUGAUUCCAUUGGUCGUCUGUCACCAGCAUGCUCAUGAUAAACACCUAAUAAGCACAGAAUGACGAUCAGCCAACUCUAAUGGUGCAGUCAUAGAUGGAAUUACAAAAAGUGCUUAUCGAUGUAUGUGCAGUAUUUCGAACCAAAACUCUGCACACAUAGACUCCAAG